UACCUGCAGCUCAAGUGGUGGCCACUAUUAUUGGGCCUAAAACGUUCGUAGCCGGUUUAAUAAAUGCCUGGGUAAAUUGUGUAGCUUAACUAUACGAAUACCGGGUAGACUGUUAAACUUGGGACCGGGAGAGACUAGAGGUACUCCCAGGGUAGAGGUGAAAUUCUGUAAUCCUGGGGGGACCACCAGUGGCGAAGGCGUCUAGUCAGAACGGGUCUGACGGUGAGGGACGAAGCCCUGGGGCGCAAACCGGAUUAGAUACCCGGGUAGUCCAGGGUGUAAACGCUGCUCGCUUGAUGUUAGUUGGGCUCCGAGCCCAACUAGUGUCGGAGAGAAGUUGUUAAGCGAGCUGCCUGGGAAUACGGUCGCAAGACUGAAACUUAAAGGAAUUGGCGGGGAGCACAGCAACGGGUGGAGCGUGCGGUUU
Molecule: ribosomal RNA, 427 nt
Filed under: uncultured archaeon
Lineage: Archaea
Description: bacterial SSU rRNA
Rfam family: Archaeal small subunit ribosomal RNA
Source: RNAcentral